RNAcentral lists this ribosomal RNA (484 nucleotides) under uncultured bacterium. Its description in RNAcentral is "partial 16S ribosomal RNA". It matches the Rfam family "Bacterial small subunit ribosomal RNA", at positions 30 to 507 of the family's 1533-position model. The record is from RNAcentral.
AUUGAACGCUGGCGGCAGGCCUAACACAUGCAAGUCGAGCGGAUGAAGAGAGCUUGCUCCUGGAUACAGCGGCGGACGGGUGAGUAAUGCCUAGGAAUCUGCCUGGUAGCGGGGGAUAACGUCCGGAAACGGGCGCUAAUACCGCAUACGUCCUGAGGGAGAAAGUGGGGGAUCUUCGGACCUCACGCUAUCAGAUGAGCCUAGGUCGGAUUAGCUAGUUGGUGGGGUAAAGGCCUACCAAGGCGACGAUCCGUAACUGGUCUGAGAGGAUGAUCAGUCACACUGGAACUGAGACACGGUCCAGACUCCUACGGGAGGCAGCAGUGGGGAAUAUUGGACAAUGGGCGAAAGCCUGAUCCAGCCAUGCCGCGUGUGUGAAGAAGGUCUUCGGAUUGUAAAGCACUUUAAGUUGGGAGGAAGGGCAGUAAGUUAAUACCUUGCUGUUUUGACGUUACCAACAGAAUAAGCACCGGCUAACUUCGUG